Molecule: ribosomal RNA, 1478 nt
Filed under: Lacticaseibacillus sp.
Lineage: Bacteria; Bacillati; Bacillota; Bacilli; Lactobacillales; Lactobacillaceae
Description: bacterial SSU rRNA
Rfam family: Bacterial small subunit ribosomal RNA
Source: RNAcentral
CGCCUUGGGCGGGUGCUAUACAUGCAGUCGAACGAGUUCUCGUUGAUGAUCGGUGCUUGCACCGAGAUUCAACAUGGAACGAGUGGCGGACGGGUGAGUAACACGUGGGUAACCUGCCCUUAAGUGGGGGAUAACAUUUGGAAACAGAUGCUAAUACCGCAUAGAUCCAAGAACCGCAUGGUUCUUGGCUGAAAGAUGGCGUAAGCUAUCGCUUUUGGAUGGACCCGCGGCGUAUUAGCUAGUUGGUGAGGUAAUGGCUCACCAAGGCGAUGAUACGUAGCCGAACUGAGAGGUUGAUCGGCCACAUUGGGACUGAGACACGGCCCAAACUCCUACGGGAGGCAGCAGUAGGGAAUCUUCCACAAUGGACGCAAGUCUGAUGGAGCAACGCCGCGUGAGUGAAGAAGGCUUUCGGGUCGUAAAACUCUGUUGUUGGAGAAGAAUGGUCGGCAGAGUAACUGUUGUCGGCGUGACGGUAUCCAACCAGAAAGCCACGGCUAACUACGUGCCAGCAGCCGCGGUAAUACGUAGGUGGCAAGCGUUAUCCGGAUUUAUUGGGCGUAAAGCGAGCGCAGGCGGUUUUUUAAGUCUGAUGUGAAAGCCCUCGGCUUAACCGAGGAAGCGCAUCGGAAACUGGGAAACUUGAGUGCAGAAGAGGACAGUGGAACUCCAUGUGUAGCGGUGAAAUGCGUAGAUAUAUGGAAGAACACCAGUGGCGAAGGCGGCUGUCUGGUCUGUAACUGACGCUGAGGCUCGAAAGCAUGGGUAGCGAACAGGAUUAGAUACCCUGGUAGUCCAUGCCGUAAACGAUGAAUGCUAGGUGUUGGAGGGUUUCCGCCCUUCAGUGCCGCAGCUAACGCAUUAAGCAUUCCGCCUGGGGAGUACGACCGCAAGGUUGAAACUCAAAGGAAUUGACGGGGGCCCGCACAAGCGGUGGAGCAUGUGGUUUAAUUCGAAGCAACGCGAAGAACCUUACCAGGUCUUGACAUCUUUUGAUCACCUGAGAGAUCAGGUUUCCCCUUCGGGGGCAAAAUGACAGGUGGUGCAUGGUUGUCGUCAGCUCGUGUCGUGAGAUGUUGGGUUAAGUCCCGCAACGAGCGCAACCCUUAUGACUAGUUGCCAGCAUUUAGUUGGGCACUCUAGUAAGACUGCCGGUGACAAACCGGAGGAAGGUGGGGAUGACGUCAAAUCAUCAUGCCCCUUAUGACCUGGGCUACACACGUGCUACAAUGGAUGGUACAACGAGUUGCGAGACCGCGAGGUCAAGCUAAUCUCUUAAAGCCAUUCUCAGUUCGGACUGUAGGCUGCAACUCGCCUACACGAAGUCGGAAUCGCUAGUAAUCGCGGAUCAGCACGCCGCGGUGAAUACGUUCCCGGGCCUUGUACACACCGCCCGUCACACCAUGAGAGUUUGUAACACCCGAAGCCGGUGGCGUAACCCUUUUAGGGAGCGAGCCGUCUAAGGUGACAUGGUGGGU